AGCUGCAGCCAAGGAGACUUUCUUAAGCUAGACUAUAAAUCCACACUAUUUGCACGGACAAAUGACCCAGGAACCUGAGACUGAAACUUCAUGAUUUUGCAUUAAGCUCUUGAGGCACGGUUCCAGCCUUUUUCCUGGCUCUUGCUUUGUGGCAGAACUUCAGCUGCUGUCACUGCAUGGGAACUGAUCCAGCUGAAAAAUACCCUGCCUGAGGAAAAGAUCCUUUUUUAUUGUGAUCACUGUUAUGGCUUGAGGAAGAGGGACACAUGGGCUGGGGAAAGAUGGAACUGUCCUCUCAGUGACAGCCUGUGCUUUGAUCAUUUAGGAAGAUAGUGAAACUGCAGCUGGUAAAAAGGGCUGAUCCUGCAAGUCCUACAGACAAAUUUUCUUCAACAGGGGCUUAUAGAGCAGAGCAAAAGGGAUUAAUAAACCAAAGUUAUGGGCUGAGCUGCAAAAGGAAGCACAUGCUUCACGACUCCAAGCUCUUUCUGCUCAUGUGGAAUGGAUUAAAGAUAAAAACAACCCUGUUAUGCGCUUUGCUCCUGAGCUGUUUCGAUCCUGUCUAUCUUCUUCUCCAGAGAAGCGUGUACAGGAACUAUUAUCUGUAACUCAAAACUGUGGCUCAUAUUUCCAGGAUAGCUCAUGGGAUCCACUUCUCCUUGCCAGAGAAUGAGGUAUCAAUGGGUACGAGCUGCAGUGGUUCAGGAACAUUUAGUGCCAGCCUGGUUGUUUUCUUGCAGGAUCUGCCUAUUUGCAUCUGUAUUUUAAAUAUGGAAUACUGGGGCACAUAGAAACAUAGUGACUGCUGAUGCUGGGCAGUGGAUCUCCUGUAGGACAAGCACCAAAUCCACAUUUGAUGUCUGUUUAGCUGGAAUCAUGGACAGCACAAACAUGCUCCUCACGCAACAACAGCUUUAUUACUCAGAAAUACUUUGAAAUUCCAGAUCCCGUUCCUAUUCUUUUUGCCUGCACCGAUGUGAAUGACCGCUGUUCUCCUCCCCACCGGGAUGUCAGCAGAUCCUGGAGCUUGUUUUCCACUGAAAUGUCUCCUCUUAGGUAAAUAUUACAUCUGGGGUUGCUUUGCCAGUGGCUUUCCUACCUGGAGUUUGUACAACAGGUCAAUGCCCUGCCAGGAGAUAAGAGGAAUACUUUGCUGCCAGUGCUGUUUGCUGCUGUGAAAUGCCACCCUGCCAACCUCAUCAGUUGCUUCUCCAAAGUUUUUUGAAUGUUGCUUAUGUCCUGAAGGUUUUUGCAAAUUGAGGGAAAUUUAAAACAAGAUGUUGAAUGUUUGGACAGAGCAGAAGAACUUGUUUAUUGCAACAGCCAUGACUUGUAAAUUAUUCAUCUGUGUGUAAUUGAAACACUCAGAUCCUCAAAGGUCAUGUUACAAAGAGUGAGGUGAAGGAUCAGCGAGCUUCCAGCAAAACAGGAAGGUUGGCAGGUGCUGGGGAAGCCUUCUCCAUCCACCUGUAUCUGUUCCGUGGCAGUGCCUUUUUGCAGAUGAAAACUGAGUUUUCAAUAGGUGAAGCAAUGUACAAACACGUGUCUGGGAAGGGGAGAGGCCAUGUAUGAAGUACCUUCCUCUGACAGUUUUCCCUCCAGUGGAAAACACAGGUUUGAAGCCUGUUGCAGUGAGACAUCUACACCUGUCUGAGGACUCAGCCCAAGCAUCAGCACACACACAAUGGACUCUGGCCUCUGUGGAAUGGAGAAGUUCCAAGGACCAAGAGGGACCAGAAUAGCUGUGUAAGCAGAGAAGAAUCCAGUGCAGUUCCACUCAGCAGAUCUGUCUCCAGACAACACCAGACUUCAACUAAUUUAAAAGAGCAGAUGCUAGCUGGAACAUUAAUUGCAACAGCUACUAACUUUUCUCUGUGCUUCAGUCUGUAUUCUAGCUCUCUCAUACCAGGUUUGGAGAGAAAGAGUUAACCCUUUAGGUUGUUUCUUUUUUUUUAGUCACAGCAUGUCCUUAGAAGAGAGCAUGAUGUUCUAUGAAUAGGUUUGAAUCCAGGUUUUUUUUCAUCUGAAAACAAUUCUCUGUCUAGUAAUGCAGAACCAUCAUCACAAACAGCACUCUCAACCCUUCCCUCUCACUGUGUUGUCAGUAAAGUGAUCUUGCUCAGCUUUCAGAGGCCUUGUAGCAGUGCUGGGCACAGAGCCAGCUGCUCUUCUUCCCUGUAUGUAUUGUAUUAGAUGGACACCUCUUCGUUAACCUGGGCUCAUUUGUUCCCCUCAGGCUGUAUUCCUUCUCAUUAGACUUGAUGUAUGAUCAAGAAAAGAAAGUGCAAAGAGCUCAGCUGACAUCUGAUACACUUAUAAAUAGCCUUUCUGCCCUGCUACAGUUCUGUGGCCAUCCCAACGGGAGCAAGCACUCAGUGUAUCACACUCUUCCUGGAACUGGGAUGCUAUCGAAGAUUUUCCUCUAAAGCAGCCAAAUUUGCUCUGCUGGAAACUGGGUGCUUGAAUGCAGGCACCACUGGUCUGUUCCAGAUUGGCAGUUCCUUAGUUUUGUCCUAAUAUCCAAUCAGGCAAAGGCAUUGUUUGAACAAUGAGGCUCUUCCACUGUUCCCUGCCCUCCCUGCUCCCUGUAACAGGCAGAGGCUCCCUCAGCUCAGUGAACAGCCCUGGACUUUUUCUACAACUGUGCUCACACUCCACCCCAGGCUCCUGUUACUCCCUUCAUUCCCAAACCCCAUUUCCUCCCUCUCCCUCAGGGCUGGAUCCCAUCUCCUCCAUGGGCUCACUGAGUCCAUCACAGGUCUGGCAAUCCUUGUUGAGAUGUGUCCUGUGAUGCUGUCAUGAGCACCAGUGUUCCCAUCUAAACACAAUCUUCUCUGGCUUCCAGCGGAUGAUGAGGAGCAUAUCCCUUAACCCCUUUUUCUUUUGCUGACCUCCUUGGGUGAUAACUAUUGUCAUUUCCCACACCUUACUGGCACUGAAUGAGCCUCAAAGUCAGCUACCAGAGAGAUUGCCAGGGAGUGAUGAAUUUAGGCAGGAGAGCUAUGGGGAGGAUUACAGGGCUGAUUGAGAUAUUACAGAUUAUUCCUGACUCAUACUCUUGUAGGUCUGAUGAAAGAAAUGAGUCCGAUCCUUCCAACACAGUUUGACCUGGCAGAUGCAGCCGGCAGCCAGCUCAGCGGCUGUGUGAGGAGCUCACUAUGUUUUGUAAAUGGAAUAAAGUUCAUUUAACACAGCAGGCCUGUAUUUGCUGUUAACUCAAAGGCCUCUCGCCUGAAAACAACCUGCAGAUCACUUACCCCAUCACUGCUUGCAGGAGGAAUUAGCUCCUGAGAACUGCUGCUGGUGGAGGAGGCACUUGAAAUUCAUUUUAUGAACAUCAGUUUGUUCUGAAUUGUACUUUGCCAAGAUUGUUAUCCUUAAGGAAGAGGAGGUGAAACCGCAGAGCAAGGAGAUGAGCCUCCAAGAAUAUGAAGCUGACCUCCCAGCUGUGUGUUCUGCACUGGUACCCACAGGAGCUCUGUCUGUUGGUGCCACGAUGCUGCAUUUCUGACCUGGCGGUGCUCCAGCUGUGACCUGAGCGAAGGUUACUGUGUUUGCAUGUAGGCUUUGUGUUUGCUAUUUAAGGUGAGUGAGAGGCUCUGAAUUCCCUUGGUUGGGUCACCCUCUCUGUUUCCCAAUUCAAUGCAAACAGCCAGAGAGGCAGGCAGCUCUUCCUUGAAGACAUUCAAAUCCUCAAGAGGUGUGCCAGUGUCUGGCAGAUGUGGUGUUGGCAAUGCACGGUGGACACAACGUGGUCAUAGUUGUUCAGUCCUGUAAACACUGCGUUCAAAACCACCAUCUCCUCUCAACACCUCCUUGAGCCACUUCCUCACAGUGCUCAGCACAAGGAUCCUGCACAAACGCACCCAGCCCUGGCGUAUUCCUUCCAGGAGAGGGCAGGGGAAUACAGUUUAUCGCAGAUCCACUCCUGAACUGGAGCCAACGUCCAUGCAAUCCCAGAUCUUCCUGUACGUCUUCCAGUAUAUUUUGCUUUCCUAAACUUGGAUGAGCAGAAGUGGGUUCUGAAUCUCCUCCAGGUGAGUCAGAGGGUUUUGUCACAUUUACAGACCUGCCUGUCCCUGAGUCAUUUUCUGGAGGGGCGGCUUGGGCUGGGCUGUGCCCCUUGCCCUGGACCCCUUGCAAUGAGCCUUGUGUAUUCCAUUGAAGGCAUCGGCUGCUGGGCAGCUUCAGGACCUGGAUUUAAAGAGCCGAGCCCCACCUCCUGUGCUUCACCUCGCCAUCAAGCCAGGGGAGGCAGCGAUGGGCCAGCCUGUGUGUCACACGCUCAGCACACUCCUGUCCCUGCAGAGGGUGGCCUGAUUCCCUUGGAUGUCCAUGAUAGCAGCAGGAACAGCUCUGCCCCAUGGUGCUUUUGCCAGAUUAAAGUGCAGGGGUUGUGCAUGGAAACCCGAGGCUGGAGCUGGACCUGGCUAAAGAUGGGCUAGAGAAAUGCAGCCAGAAGGUUGGCUAAUGUUUUCUCUCUCGGUGUAUUAAUGAACAGAAAGUUUGGGACAAAACCAGAAACUCUCCCCAGGUCCCCCCACUGUCUUUAACAGUCAAAAACGUAAUAGCAUAAAAAAUCCUAAAAUGAGUUUCUUCCAACUUAUCUCCUCCUGGACCUAUGAUUCUGACUUGAAAAGACAACAUAAUUUCCAAACCAGUGGAGGAAAGAAAAAAACCCAAAAAUCAAUAAACUGUUGGCCCUGCAGCACAGAUGCCCUGGCAAGGCCAAAGAAAUUAAGUCCUGAGAUUGCUGUUGCUGUUUCCACCUUGUCCUGCAGAGACACAGCCAGGGAUAAACAUAUUCUUUGUGUCAAUAUUUCUGUAGUACCGAGGGAACUUACAGUCCUUAUCUGUGAGUGUCAAGGACUGCUAAGUUAACAUGAUCAUAUAAUUACUGGAGAGUCUGACAGGCUUUUUUUGUUUCCUCUGUCUCCAUGUCACUGUUCUGGUGCUGAAAGUCAAAACCCAGGAGAGCUCAGCUGGAUGUGACCAUGGGCUUUGUGGCACAUGGAAGGGAUCCAUCUGCAGGAGAUUAAUUUUAAAAAAGGACCCAAAAAAUCCCCAAACAACACACAAAACCAACAAAUAGAAUUUGAACUUCCUUUUUAUUUUUUUUUUUUUACUGUGCUUGAUUAUUUUUGCUUCUUUCAUUGGAGAAAGAACAACCUUGAUUUGUAAAUCAGAUGGAAAUAAUCAAUUCAGCCUGACUAACCCUUGUUUUGCCAGGUGGCUAGUAGGCUCAUCACAUUACUAAUAGUUUGCUGCUGCAGUAAGUGGGAUAUAGCAAGGGCUGGGGCAGAAAUACCACAGGUGACCUCUAAAGACAGCAAAGCACUCGUCCAAUGCAACACAAUCUCUCUUUUUGCCCAUCCAUGAAGUUCAAACAUUUUUCCUUCAAAUCCCCUCAAAAACAAGAAGUAAUUUGUAACACAGAACUGUGCAAGCAACAUAGAAAAGGGGAGAAAAUCUGAGGCAGGAAAGGUCAGCCUCUGUAGAGCGUGUUUAGAAAGGCAAAUUAUGAGCAGAGCCAGACAAUUGUUAGGUGUAAACUGCUGAGUGUGGUGUGGAGGAACCCUUUGCUGUCUUUCCCACCUUGAAUGGCUCUGUGCUAUGUGGCACAGAACAACUCAUGAAUAAUUCCGACUAUGGCUCCUUUUUAACUUUAUAAAACAGGGCAAUUAUUAUCUCCAGGAAAAUUUUUAAAAGCUUGAGUGCUGAGGUUUAUCUGCCUUUCCUGACUAGAUCUUUAGCACACAGCCAAGAGACAAAAGCCAGAUAAAGGGACCUUAACUCUGUGUUUUCCCAGUGUUUGACUGGGCUGUGCCAAUGCGAGAAAUGCUGUCUGAGCAGGGCAACCAGUUUGACUGAAGUUCUCUCCUGAACAGUGCCAAAAGAGAGAAUGGAAAAUGCCCAAGAAAUAUCAAGGGACAGAAGUAACAGUAGAUUUUCAAAAUAGUUGCUGAAGAGGUGAAAAUAAAGAAAUCUCUUAGUGAUGCACAAAAAAGAUGGGUUGGGAAAAUUCAGAUGUAUUUCAUAGUAUGGGAUGAGGACUCAAUUGUGCUGCAGUACCAAAUGAGGGGCACUAAUGUGAGACAUCAGUCACAGAUGCACAAAAAUUAAUUCCCAAAAUCUUGUCCCAGCCCAACAGCCAUUGCUGUUUCUCAUGAAAAGUUGGCAGAAAAAAAGGGAUCAGAAGUAAUUAUAUUUGUCUAGAUCUGUGCAUUUCCCCUGCUGUUAAUAAAGGCUUGUAGUGUGUCCAAAGCCUUGAGCAAAACGUAGAUGUGUGUCAACUUGCUUUCACUGUCAUGGGGCUCAGAAGAAUUAACCAGUGCACAGCUUAAGAAGUACAUUCAGAGAUCAUGGAGGGAUGGAAAAGUGGCUGAGCGGCUCAGAGGCUGGCACCUGUCCCUGUAGCUUGUAAUCUUCAGUUUUGGGUUUAAGCCCCAAAGUGUGCCUGCAGUCCUCAAAACCAAGUCUGCAGUUCAAAGCACUCACAGAAGACUCAUGGAUAAGAAAAUAUAGUCUAGCUGAGAAUGGAAAUUUCUCUGUUAAAAUCUUUGCUCAGGAAAGAUGCUGUGAUAGAUGAAGCUAUGGUGAUGUUCCAGCAAGGACAGCCCCAGACUGGCAUUUUAGGAGGCAGUGACUUUUGUGCACUUUUCCAUUAUUCUCUGUUGUAAGGUGCCAGGUUUGUGCUGUACUGAGGCAUCAGAACUUGUGCCAUUCUGUCUGUUUGGUUUUAACAUGUCCUUUGUCUCUGUCUAGAAAUUUUGCCUGGGCAGAAAAAGAGGACUUUGGAUAUUUGCCCAGUGUGUACUGAUGUCCAACAGCCUGGUUAGGGCAGCAAUUUCUACAAGAGUUCUGGACACGCAGGAAUGCUGAAGGCACAGUCACUGAGCCUGCACACAAGGGCUGUGCUGAGGUUUCCCAUGGAAUCUGUGUGCACAGAAAAGGGGAUCUGGACAUAUGCAAAAGGUCUGGUGCAUCCAGAACUUGUCACACUGUGUGGGAGUGAGCUUGGGCCAGGGUUCAUUCUGCAUGCUCUAGACUCACUUCCCAGGUGCUGUGCACUGCCUGACUGCAUUCCUAAUACUUUUUUUUUCCCCCACAGAGAAAUCUCAGGGAGAAAUACAAAUGCCUUAGUUACACUUUCCUGGUAUUUUCCAUUGAAUUUCGCCUCACAGCAGUAUUCAAAGGCUGAGAUGCUCAGUAGGGUUCUUCAGAUGUGAAGAAAGUAUCAGAUCCCUCCUCAGUCACGACAUGCAGCCACUCAGGGGCAGGUGCUGGCAAAAGGGAUGGUGGCAGUGCAUCCUGUCCCACAGCAGCACGUUUGGAUCUGCUUGAGCCCACUGAAAACUUCUCACCUUCCUAUCUCCAGCCUCAGAAACAGCCAAGAGCACAGCCCUGCAGCUGCACAGUGGGCAAAGGACCCAGCCUCCAGUGGUGCUUCUAGGGAAGCGAAAAGGCUGUGGGCCCAGUAAAAUGGAUGAAACUUGAAAAGCAGAACUGGGAAAACACCAUUUUAUUUCCACAUAAGAACAGCAAGGCUUUCUGUGGGGAGAAGGAAUGGUGUGCUGUCCCAUGUGCCCUCCAAAAGGGUGCACAGACCUCUUGUUAUAGGACUGCAUCCUCAUAUCCCAGGCUGCACUUUCCUAAGAAAUCUGAAAAAAGGAAAAAUUGAGAAUUGAAAUUGAAAAAUGUCGAGCAGAAAAACAGAAAAGCUGCUGCUGCAGCUGGCCCCACUGUGAUCCUCUUCUGCAGGAGUUGAACAUAGAUCCUGAUCCAUACCAGGUAC
Long non-coding RNA from Poecile atricapillus (Black-capped chickadee), 7795 nucleotides. RefSeq lists it as uncharacterized. The transcript has 4 exons. Lineage: Eukaryota; Metazoa; Chordata; Aves; Passeriformes; Paridae. The record is from RefSeq and is a predicted model, not a curated record.